UACGUAGGUGGCGAGCGUUGUCCGGAAUGACUGGGUGUAAAGGGCGAGUAGGUGGGAUUACAAGUCAGAUGUGAAAUUUAGGGGCUCAACUUCUAAGCUGCAUCUGAAACUGUAGUUCUUGAGUGCUGGAGAGGGAAGCGGAAUUCCUAGUGUAGCGGUGAAAUGCGUAGAUAUUAGGAGGAACACCAGUGGCGAAGGCGGCUUUCUGGACAGUAACUGACACUGAGGCGCGAAAGCGUGGGUAG
This 245-nucleotide ribosomal RNA is filed under the name uncultured Oscillospiraceae bacterium. Its description in RNAcentral is "partial 16S ribosomal RNA". It matches the Rfam family "Bacterial small subunit ribosomal RNA", at positions 524 to 768 of the family's 1533-position model. The record is from RNAcentral. Lineage: Bacteria; Bacillati; Bacillota; Clostridia; Eubacteriales; Oscillospiraceae.